RNAcentral lists this ribosomal RNA (303 nucleotides) under uncultured bacterium. RNAcentral describes it as "bacterial SSU rRNA". It matches the Rfam family "Bacterial small subunit ribosomal RNA", at positions 28 to 355 of the family's 1533-position model. The record is from RNAcentral.
GACGAACGCUGGCGGUGUGCUUCACACAUGCAAGUCGAACGAGGUAGCAAUACCUAGUGGCGGACGGGUGAGUAACGCGUGGGAAUCUGCCUUUAGAUGGGGGGAUAACGGGUCGAAAGACUCGCUAAUACCGCAUAUGACGAAAGUUGAAAGGAGUAAUCCGUCUAAAGAUGAGCCCGCGUCCGAUUAGCUAGUUGGUAGAGUAAAAGCCUACCAAGGCGACGAUCGGUAGCUGGUCUGAGAGGAUGAUCAGCCAACAAAUGGGACUGAGACACGGCCCAUACUCCUACGGGAGGCAGCAGU